This 80-nucleotide ribosomal RNA is filed under the name Streptococcus pyogenes. The record is from RNAcentral. Lineage: Bacteria; Bacillati; Bacillota; Bacilli; Lactobacillales; Streptococcaceae.
AGUGACGAUAGCCUAGGAGAUACACCUGUACCCAUGCCGAACACAGCAGUUAAGCCCUAGAACGCCUGAUGUAGUUGGGG